Molecule: signal recognition particle RNA, 94 nt
Filed under: Candidatus Babeliales bacterium
Lineage: Bacteria; Candidatus Babeliae; Candidatus Babeliales
Description: signal recognition particle sRNA small type
Rfam family: Bacterial small signal recognition particle RNA
About the family: The signal recognition particle (SRP) is a universally conserved ribonucleoprotein involved in the co-translational targeting of proteins to membranes. Archaeal SRP consists of a 7S RNA and homologues of the eukaryotic SRP19 and SRP54 proteins.
Source: RNAcentral
UGAGAGAAGUUGAUAAAAUGUAUGAUAUCUAAUCUGUCAGGUCCGGAAGGAAGCAGCAGGGGUAUUUAUAGAUUUGUAUUAACUUCUCUCUCUU